This 87-nucleotide transfer RNA is filed under the name Aliidongia dinghuensis. It matches the Rfam family "tRNA". Rfam says of the family: Transfer RNA (tRNA) molecules are approximately 80 nucleotides in length. Their secondary structure includes four short double-helical elements and three loops (D, anti-codon, and T loops). Further hydrogen bonds mediate the characteristic L-shaped molecular structure. tRNAs have two regions of fundamental functional importance: the anti-codon, which is responsible for specific mRNA codon recognition, and the 3' end, to which the tRNAs corresponding amino acid is attached (by aminoacyl-tRNA synthetases). tRNAs cope with the degeneracy of the genetic code in two manners: having more than one tRNA (with a specific anti-codon) for a particular amino acid; and 'wobble' base-pairing, i.e. permitting non-standard base-pairing at the 3rd anti-codon position. The record is from Rfam by way of RNAcentral. Lineage: Bacteria; Pseudomonadati; Pseudomonadota; Alphaproteobacteria; Rhodospirillales; Dongiaceae.
GGAUGGGUGGCCGAGCGGUUUAAGGCUCCAGUCUUGAAAACUGGCGUAGGCGCAAGCCUACCGUGGGUUCGAAUCCCACCCCAUCCG